CCUACGGGCGGCAGCAGUGGGGAAUAUUGCACAAUGGGGGAAACCCUGAUGCAGCGACGCCGCGUGAGUGAAGAAGGAUCUCGGUAUGUAAAGCUCUAUCAGCAGGGAAGAAAAUGACGGUAUCUGACUAAGAAGCCCCGCCUAACUCCGUGCCAGCAGCCGCGGUAAUACGUAGGGGGCAAGCGCUAUCCGGAUUUACUGGGUGUAAAGGGAGCGUAGACGGCGCUGCAAGUCCGGAGUGAAAGACCCUGGCUUAACCAUGGUACUGCUCUGGAAACUGUGGAGCUUGAGUGUGGGAGGGGCAGGCGGAAUUCCUAGUGUAGCGGUGAAAUGCGUAGAUAUUAGGAGGAACACCGGCGGCGAAGGCGGCCUGCUGGACCGUAACUGACGUUGAGGCUCGAAAGCGUGGGGAGCAAACAGGAUUAGAUACCCGUGUAGUC
Molecule: ribosomal RNA, 440 nt
Filed under: uncultured bacterium
Lineage: Bacteria
Description: partial 16S ribosomal RNA
Rfam family: Bacterial small subunit ribosomal RNA
Source: RNAcentral